This 485-nucleotide ribosomal RNA is filed under the name uncultured bacterium. Its description in RNAcentral is "partial 16S ribosomal RNA". It matches the Rfam family "Bacterial small subunit ribosomal RNA", at positions 29 to 507 of the family's 1533-position model. The record is from RNAcentral.
AUGAACGCUAGCGGCAGGCUUAACACCUGCAAGUCGAGGGGCAGCGCGGGAUAGCAAUAUCCUGGCGGCGACCGGCGGAAGGGUGCGUAACGCGUGAGCGACAUGCCCGUUGCCCGGGGACAACCGGUGGAAACGCCGACUAAUCCCCGAUGGGAUAUUGUGCCGCAUGGCACGAUAUUGAAAGUUACGGCGGCGACGGAUUGGCUCGCGUCCGAUUAGCUGGUUGGCGGGGUAACGGCCCACCAAGGCUGCGAUCGGUAGGGGUUCUGAGAGGAAGGCCCCCCACAAUGGGACGGAGACACGGCCCAUACUCCUACGGGAGGCAGCAGUGAGGAAUAUGGGUCAAUGGGCGGAAGCCUGAACCAGCCAUGCCGCGUGCGGGAAGGAGGCCCUAUGGGCUGUGAACCGCUUUUGCCUGGGGGCAAUAAGGGCGUCGCGCACGUCCGAUGAGAGUACCAGGCGAAUAAGCAUCGGCUAACUCCGUG